RNAcentral lists this ribosomal RNA (414 nucleotides) under uncultured microorganism. Its description in RNAcentral is "bacterial SSU rRNA". It matches the Rfam family "Archaeal small subunit ribosomal RNA", at positions 330 to 745 of the family's 1478-position model. The record is from RNAcentral.
GCGCAGCAGUCGCGAAAACUUCACACUGUGCGAAAGCACGAUGAGGGAAUCCCAAGUGCUUGCACGUAAGUGUAAGCUGUUUCUCUGUUUAAAACGCAGAGAGAGUAAGGGCUGGGUAAGACGGGUGCCAGCCGCCGCGGUAAUACCUGCAGCUCAAGUGGUGACCGUUAUUAUUGGGCCUAAAACGUCCGUAGCCGGUUUAAUAAAUGCCUGGGUAAAUCGUGUAGCUUAACUAUACGAAUUCCGGGUAGACUGUUAAACUCGAGACCGGGAGAAGUUAGAGGUACUCCUGGGGUAGAGGUGAAAUUCUGUAAUCCUAGGGGGACCACCAGUGGCGAAGGCGUCUAACUAGAACGGGUCUGACGGUGAGGGACGAAGCCCUGGGGCGCAAACGGGAUUAGAUACCCCCGUAGU